This 1055-nucleotide long non-coding RNA is filed under the name Homo sapiens (human). RNAcentral's name for it is "HSALNT0328689". The record is from RNAcentral. Lineage: Eukaryota; Metazoa; Chordata; Mammalia; Primates; Hominidae.
UAGUGCUCAGGGGAUAUAAAAAUAAUGCAUUGUAUGCCGGAAGGGAUAAAUCUGGGGCUGAGUACAAGCAAAACAAGACCAAAGGAAGCUACCUGAGCAGGUAUUCCAGAUACUCAUGUCAUACACCAAGGUUGUACCAGUGCCCCUUUCUCUGUGACACAUCCAUCCACUGGAAACUUUCGUACAACUAGCUGAAAGAAGAGAAACAUCCUAUUUCAUGUCACUGGAGCCCUAAUGAUCGCAGCCAUUUCAGGAAAUGCCAUCAAUUACAGUGAGGAGCUCAUUCAGAAGUGAAAGAUGAGUUCCAUUCUCUGUUACUUAGAGGGUGGAUAUCCUCCUCCACUGAAUGCAAACUAUUAAGUAAUGAAAAGACAGCACUCCAAGCAAUAUAGAUUUAUAGGCCAACCUGGCAAUCAAGGGUAACUGACAUGAAAAUGGAUUGCUUCACAUUUUAAUUACAAAGAUACUCUUCAGUACCAUAAAUUGAAGAAAACACUAACUUUUUGUGGCUACUGUAAUUGUCAAAGUAUAAUUACCUGUGUUUUCUCACCUACGUAUUUGAGAUAGAGACAAAACCAAUUUUACGGCCCCUACAUUUUGAGAACCCAACUGCAUCUGAGAACCAAACUUCUUGGAAAUUCUAAAGGGCAUGCCAUAGGCAGCCUAGCUACUUUAACAGAGCAUUUCAAUCAGUUUUUCUCCACGGUUUGGCCAAAUAAUUAGUAUGUUUCCUGGCAACACAUUGAGAAAGAAAGCUGGUAUAGAAUCUUCCUAACAAUGGACCAAGAUGAGAGAAGAAGCCAGUCAUAUCCAUUUCUCAACCUUCGGUCUUCUUGCAUAUGGGGGAAAGCAUGGGGACAAUUGUCUCUACUAUCAGUACGUAAUGUUUCUGGACCUCAGACAUUGGUCAGUUCCCCAAUUGACCGCUCUAGGUGAAGAGUCUGUAUCACCCUCUAUGCUGCCUCCAUUACAGAUAAAAAGGGGAUCUUGGACCCAUAGCAAUGAAUUAGUGGUGUGAAAGAUGUCACUUGGAGCUGCCUAAAGUGAUCGUAGAC